This 497-nucleotide ribosomal RNA is filed under the name uncultured bacterium. RNAcentral describes it as "partial 16S ribosomal RNA". It matches the Rfam family "Bacterial small subunit ribosomal RNA", at positions 28 to 507 of the family's 1533-position model. The record is from RNAcentral.
GAUGAACGCUGGCGGCGUGCCUAAUACAUGCAAGUCGAGCGAAUGGACGAGAAGCUUGCUUCUCUGAUGUUAGCGGCGGACGGGUGAGUAACACGUGGAUAACCUACCUAUAAGACUGGGAUAACUUCGGGAAGCCGUAGCUAAUACCGGAUAAUAUUUUGAACCGCAUGGUUCAAAAGUGAAAGACGGUCUUGCUGUCACUUAUAGAUGGAUCCGCGCUGCAUUAGCUAGUUGGUAAGGUAACGGCUUACCAAGGCAACGAUGCAUAGCCGACCUGAGAGGGUGAUCGGCCACACUGGAACUGAGACACGGUCCAGACUCCUACGGGAGGCAGCAGUAGGGAAUCUUCCGCAAUGGGCGAAAGCCUGACGGAGCAACGCCGCGUGAGUGAUGAAGGUCUUCGGAUCGUAAAACUCUGUUAUUAGGGAAGAACAUAUGUGUAAGUAACUGUGCACAUCUUGACGGUACCUAAUCAGAAAGCCACGGCUAACUACGUG